RNAcentral lists this long non-coding RNA (2854 nucleotides) under Mus pahari (shrew mouse). RNAcentral's name for it is "lncRNA (MGP_PahariEiJ_G0006408.1)". The record is from RNAcentral. Lineage: Eukaryota; Metazoa; Chordata; Mammalia; Rodentia; Muridae.
ACCAUAGAGUUCGGCGAGGCGUACUAGAAGGGCCACCAAUUGCACCUUCCCGGGCGGUUUAGGCUUAAGGUUAGCCAGCCUGGGGCUAUGGGAGCUGCAGGUGGAUAUACAACCUUGGGUCUGGUGUAGCGCUCCUAAGUUAAAAGAGACUUUUAAGUUAAACAAACGUCCAAGAUACCUUCCUUUCACUAGAAUAUCAGCCGAUUAACAAAAAUGGUCCCAAAGCUCCGUGACAGUGGACACAUUUUUUUAGGGCUACAGAUAGGCGUCUUAAUCACUUUCUUCCCGCUCUUUUGCUCUAGGGUGUCCUUUUUCUCCUGAAAAUUCAUAUUCUGCCAGGUCCUUUAAAAAGCCAGCAUCGUUCCAACUCUCAUCUGAAGCUCCGGCUGCCCUGGCUGCCAGUUUAGCAUCUGUCUCUGACCCUUCGGCUUCCUCGAAGGAGGGGGCAGACAGCGAUGCAAAUGUCUUGCAAUGACAUUGCUACUGCAGAAAAUACUUAUGGACUGAGAGGAUCGAUAGAGAGGUGGGAAGAAUGGAAGAGCCAGAGGAUGGGGAUGAGUGAUGUGAAAUGCUGUCUUUGGGACAAGAUCUGUUGACUGCACUCAUGAGCUCUCUGAAGCUGUGACUCCCUGCACAAAUUCAAAUCAUCAUUCCAACAGCUUAGAUCUGGAUUAAAGAUCUGAACUAAAGGUGUGUCUUGCUUCCUCAAAGUUCUGAAUGAGAGGUUACAUGGACUUAGCUGGUAUUUAUAAUCACCUUCUUCUACUACCCAUUGUGUAUAUCCCCCACCUCAAGCAAGGACUUCAGCAGGGUUUUGGCUUUUUGCCUGGAGAAGUGACUCAUAUUUUCAUUCCUGAAACCUGCCGGAGGCUCCGGACAGCAUCUUUAUCUGCCGUUGAUACCUCACGUACCUAAGUGGCGACUCAGAUCUGGAAAGUUAAUAUGUUCUUGAGGCAAAACUGUAAAGGUAUUCUGCUGGCCUUGCCAACCGAAAGCAAAUUGUUCCUUGUGGUCUUUUAAGUAGAUGUAGAGAAAAGGGCAUCGGUUAGAUCAGUAGCUGCAGACAAGGUACCAGGAGAUGUGUUAAUUUGCUACACCACAUCCGGUACCGCAGCUGCAAUCAGAGUCCCUAUUGGACUGACUCUUUCCUAGUCAACCCAUAGUCUCCAUGAUCCAUCUGUCUUCUGUACUGGCCAGAUAGAAGGGCUAAAAGGAGAUGUAGUGGGAACCCCCACCCCAGCAUCUUUCUAGUCCUUGACGGUGGCACUAAUUUCUGGAAUUCCUCCAGGAAUGCAAUACUACUGGUUUAGGGUUAGUAUUUUCCCUGGCAGAGGCACUCUAAAGGCUUCCAAAUGGAAUAAUAGCCCACACCCACAUGUGAGGGAACCAGUGUGAGAAUUCUGCCAACUUUUAAGUCUAUCUAUCCCAGUUAUACAUUCUGGCACUAACUUGUGGAAAUAACCACAGAAUGAGUUCAAGAACCCAUUUGGACCUACUGUGAGUGAGAUUUCAGCCAAAACUCUAUUAAUCACCCGACCUCCAUAAACCCCUACUUUAUCUGGAGGGUCACAAUAUGUCUUGGGAUCUCCCAGAAUUCGUGUUAAUUAAGAACUGGUAUCCAAUAGACAUCAGAAAUUCUGAUUGUUUACUUUCCCCAGUAUAUAUAAAGUUACUCUUUAGCCAGGGCCUGAAGUUCCUAUGAGUCAUGCCACCAUAAAAUUCACUUUGCCUAGUCUCCAGACCGAAAGGGCAACAACAAAGCUGUCCAAAUGUGCUGGUGCCCCUGUCACCCUUUUGUGUCCUGUAGGGUUAGUGAGGGACAUGUCUUCUUGGCCUUCCCAUUGCGGAGGAUUAGGUUUUUACACAGCAUACGCACUCUGGCAUUGCAGUUUCCCCGAGCCUUAAAAAUCCCCUCAUCAGUAAUAACCACAGGGUACCAGGCGUCUCCAGCUCCUUUUCAGUAGGCUGUCUUUUGAGAAGUGCUUCAGCCAACCAUUCAAACAAACUUUUGACACAUUUUUUUUAAUUGUGGGGGAUUCCAUAUUAAACCUAGAGUCUCCAAUCAGAGGUCCCAUAUCAUUAACUCAGCCUGAUCUAGUUUUCUGUUUCUUCCACCAUUAUUUUACACCCUUAAACUCCAUUCCCCCACGUACUUGCCAGACUUCUGCUUGAAUGAGGUACUCAUUAAGCUCCUUACUAAUGUAGUGCACCUCCUUACUUACCAUACUUUCUACCUCCCCUCCAGGAGCCUGCUCUGCCUUGAGUCUGGUUAUAGGUCUAGGUGCAACUACUGAUGGGCUCUGAGGGACAUCAGGAUUGUCUUGCCCAGUGUUUCCUUCAGAGAAAAUCACUUCCAGUUUAGCGGACAAUGAAGGACUGAUUAAUUUCCUCAAAGAUGAAAAAGGCAAUAUUUCAAGGGAUGGAGCUGAUAGAAGAGAUACUACUCCCUCCAGUCAUAUAAACCCUUGAGAAUUGGAGGGCUCAAAGUUCUCAGCUUCAAUAGAGUCCUCCCACACAUACCUAUCUGUCCUGGCUGGUUUUGUGUGUCAACUUGACACAAGCUGGAGUUAUCACAGAGAAAGGAGCCUCCCUUGAGGAAAUGCCUCCAUGAGAUCCAGCUGUAAGGCAUUGUCUCAGCUAGUGUUCAAGGGUGGGAGGGCCCAUUGUGGGUGGUGCCAACCCUGGGCUCAUAGUCCUGGGUUCUAUAAAAAAAAACAAAUUGUGCAAGCCAGUAACAUCCCUCCUUGGCCUCUGCAUCAGCUCCUGCUUCCUGACCUGCUUGAGUUCCAGUCCUGACUUCCUUUGGUGAUGAACAGCAAUGUAGAAGUGUAAGCUGAAUAAACUCUUUCCUCUC